Molecule: long non-coding RNA, 690 nt
Organism: Musa acuminata AAA Group (dessert banana)
Lineage: Eukaryota; Viridiplantae; Streptophyta; Magnoliopsida; Zingiberales; Musaceae
Exons: 6
Source: RefSeq, a predicted model, not a curated record
UUGGUUCUGUCAGCCUGGUCUAAUCAUUGGACCGGACUGGUUACGGCCCCGCCCCGAUCUACAUGGCUCGAGUCAGUGGUGGCGGUUCGAAAUGCAUUAGGUUUUUGAAUCCGACCCGUUAAUCCAAAUCGAAACCUUCCUCGCCUUCAAAUUCCCAGAUCCCGUUCUUUGGUAUCGUCGCGGGACGAAGCAAGCACGAAAUCUUCUCAUCUCCAAUGGCAAGUGUCAACCCUAGGAUGAGGUCUAGGAAGGAAAAGCCCGGAGCGCCGCCAUCAUGGAUUGAGCCAACAGAAGCGGCAAGAGAUAUCGAUACCGAGCAAUCUGGCAGCCUUGACGCCAAGGAGCUGAAUGUCGCCAUGAGGUACUAAUAUCACGUGGCUUAACUGGGCCCUGGGGUUUGAAGUGACAGAAGACGUUGACUACGGAUAUUAAUUGUUUGAUGGCUGAAAUAGACAAUGAUAGAGUGGGGCAAUUGAUUUUGAUGAAUUUCGUUACAUGAUGAAGGCCAAGAUUGGAGAAAGGGGCAGCAAAAAACUUACGAGGGCUUUUCGCAUUAUUGACCAGGAUGGUGAUGAAGAUGUUGAUGCUGAGGAAUUCAUGAGGAUUAUGAGGAGCUGUGGGCAUUAGAAUUUAUCCUGUUGUAAAGUUUUUAAAUCCCCCCUUAUGAUCAUCUGAAUGAUUCAGUCCUUA